This 460-nucleotide ribosomal RNA is filed under the name uncultured bacterium. RNAcentral's name for it is "partial 16S ribosomal RNA". It matches the Rfam family "Bacterial small subunit ribosomal RNA", at positions 338 to 795 of the family's 1533-position model. The record is from RNAcentral.
CCUACGGGAGGCAGCAGUGAGGAAUAUUGGUCAAUGGGCGUGAGUCUGAACCAGCCAAGUCGCGUGAGGGAUGAAGGUUCUAUGGAUGGUAAACCUCUUUUAUGAGGGAAUAAAGUGUGGGACGUGUCCUAUUUUGUAUGUACCUUAUGAAUAAGGAUCGGCUAACGCCGUGCCAGCAGCCGCGGUAAUACGGAGGAUUCGAGCGUUAUCCGGAUUUAUUGGGUUUAAAGGGUGCGUAGGCGGCCUUUUAAGUCAGCGGUGAAAGUCUGUGGCUCAACCAUAGAAUUGCAGUUGAAACUGGGGGGCUUGAGUAUGUUUGAGGCAGGCGGAAUGCGUGGUGUAGCGGUGAAAUGCUUAGAUAUCACGAAGAACCCCGAUUGCGAAGGCAGCCUGCCAAGCCAUGACUGACGCUGAUGCACGAAAGCGUGGGGAUCAAACAGGAUUAGAUACCCCGGUAGUC